RNAcentral lists this ribosomal RNA (301 nucleotides) under uncultured bacterium. RNAcentral's name for it is "partial 16S ribosomal RNA". It matches the Rfam family "Bacterial small subunit ribosomal RNA", at positions 509 to 807 of the family's 1533-position model. The record is from RNAcentral.
CAGUAGCCACGGUAAUACGUAGGUGGCAAGCGUUGUCCGGAAUUAUUGGGCGUAAAGGGCUCGCAGGCGGUUUCUUAAGUCUGAUGUGAAAGCCCCCGGCUCAACCGGGGAGGGUCAUUGGAAACUGGGAAACUUGAGUGCAGAAGAGGAGAGUGGAAUUCCACGUGUAGCGGUGAAAUGCGUAGAGAUGUGGAGGAACACCAGUGGCGAAGGCGACUCUCUGGUCUGUAACUGACGCUGAGGAGCGAACGCGUGGGGAGCGGACAGGAUUAGAUACCCGUGUAGUCCCUGUCUCUUAUAC